GAUAAACGCUGGCGGCGUGCUUCAGGCAUGCAAGUCGAACGGUCCUUCCGGUUCGCCGGACGGAUAGUGGCGGACGGGUGAGUAACACGUAAGUAACCUGCCCAGAAGUGGGGAACAACCGGCCGAAAGGCUGGCUAAUACCGCAUGUGAUGGUCCUUCCUUGGAAGGAUUAUUAAAGGCUUUGGCCGCUUCUGGAGGGGCUUGCGGCUGAUUAGCUUGUUGGUGGGGUAACGGCCUACCAAGGCAACGANCGGUAGCUGGUCUGAGAGGACGGACAGCCACACGGGGACUGAGAUACGGCCCCGACUCCUACGGGAGGCAGCAGCUAGGAAUCUUGGGAAUGGGCGAAAGCCUGACGCAGCGACGCCGCGUGGGGGAUGAAGGUCUUCGGAUUGUAAACCCCUUUCGGGAGGGAAGAUGGAAUGGGGGUAACCCAUUCGGACGGUACCUCCCAGAAGCAGCCACGGCUAACUUCGUGCCAGCAGCCGCCGUAAG
This 495-nucleotide ribosomal RNA is filed under the name uncultured bacterium. RNAcentral's name for it is "bacterial SSU rRNA". It matches the Rfam family "Bacterial small subunit ribosomal RNA", at positions 28 to 524 of the family's 1533-position model. The record is from RNAcentral.